CGGUAACCUACCCUCGGGAGGGGGAUAACCCCGGGAAACUGGGGCUAAUUCCCCAUAGGCCUGAGGUACUGGAAGGUCCUCAGGCCGAAAGGGACUUAUGUCCGCCCGAGGAUGGGCCGGCGGCCGAUUAGGUAGUUGGUGGGGUAAUGGCCCACCAAGCCGAAGAUCGGUACGGGCUGUGAGAGCAGGAGCCCGGAGAUGGACACUGAGACACGGGUCCAGGCCCUACGGGGCGCAGCAGGCGCGAAACCUCCGCAAUGCGGGAAACCGCGACGGGGGGACCCCGAGUGCCGUGGCAACGCCACGGCUUUUCCGGAGUGUAAAAAGCUCCGGGAAUAAGGGCUGGGCAAGGCCGGUGGCAGCCGCCGCGGUAAUACCGGCGGCCCGAGUGGUGGCCGCUAUUAUUGGGCCUAAAGCGUCCGUAGCCGGGCCCGUAAGUCCCUGGCGAAAUCCCACGGCUCAACCGUGGGGCUUGCUGGGGAUACUGCGGGUCUUGGGACCGGGAGAGGCGGGGGGUACCCCUGGGGUAGGGGUGAAAUCCUAUAAUCCCAGGGGGACCGCCAGUGGCGAAGGCGCCCCGCUGGAACGGGUCCGACGGUGAGGGACGAAGGCCAGGGGAGCAAACCGGAUUAGAUACCCGGGUAGUCCUGGCUGUAAAGGAUGCGGGCUAGGUGUCGGGUGAGCCUCGAGCUCGCCCGGUGCCGUAGGGAAGCCGUUAAGCCCGCCGCCUGGGGGAGUACGGCCGCAAGGCUGAAACU
This 758-nucleotide ribosomal RNA is filed under the name Thermococcus sp. enrichment culture. RNAcentral describes it as "bacterial SSU rRNA". It matches the Rfam family "Archaeal small subunit ribosomal RNA", at positions 102 to 856 of the family's 1478-position model. Lineage: Archaea; Methanobacteriati; Methanobacteriota; Thermococci; Thermococcales; Thermococcaceae. The record is from RNAcentral.